RNAcentral lists this ribosomal RNA (496 nucleotides) under uncultured bacterium. Its description in RNAcentral is "partial 16S ribosomal RNA". It matches the Rfam family "Bacterial small subunit ribosomal RNA", at positions 28 to 506 of the family's 1533-position model. The record is from RNAcentral.
GAUGAACGCUGGCGGCGUGCCUAAUACAUGCAAGUCGAGCGAACGGACGAGAAGCUUGCUUCUCUGAUGUUAGCGGCGGACGGGUGAGUAACACGUGGAUAACCUACCUAUAAGACUGGGAUAACUUCGGGAAACCGGAGCUAAUACCGGAUAAUAUUUUGAACCGCAUGGUUCAAAAGUGAAAGACGGUCUUGCUGUCACUUAUAGAUGGAUCCGCGCUGCAUUAGCUAGUUGGUAAGGUAACGGCUUACCAAGGCAACGAUGCAUAGCCGACCUGAGAGGGGGAGCGGCCACACGGGAACUGAGACGCGGUCCAGGCUCCUACGGGGGGCAGAGGUAGGGAAUUUUCCGCAAUGGGCGAAAGCCUGAAGGAGCAACGCCGGGGGAGGUAUGAAGGUCUUCGGAUCGUAAAACUCUGUUAUUAGGGAAGAACAAUUGUUUAAGUAACUGGGCACAUUUUGACGGUACCUAAUCAGAAAGCCACGGCUAACUACGG